Long non-coding RNA from Saccostrea echinata, 548 nucleotides. RefSeq lists it as uncharacterized. The record is from RefSeq and is a predicted model, not a curated record. NCBI's taxonomy places the organism in Eukaryota, Metazoa, Mollusca, Bivalvia, Ostreida, Ostreidae. The transcript has 4 exons.
UGAGAAAGAAGGCCCUUUGCGACAGAGCGUGGAACUUACGCCAACCCACAAUCUGGAGGCUUUGAGGUCAUUUGAACGACACAUCAUUUCCCGCAACCCAUGAAAUGAUGUACUGCUGUUGCUGUCAGUGAAUACUUGUUUAAAGCUCUUCCCUGAGAAAGAAGGCCCUUUGCGACAGAGCGUGGAACUUACGCCAACCCACAAUCUGGAGGCUUUGAGGUCAUUUGAACGACACAUCAUUUCCCGCAACCCAUGAAAUGAUGUACUGCUGUUGCUGUCAGUGAAUACUUGUUUAAAGCUCUUCCCUGAGAAAGAAGGCCCUUUGCGACAGAGCGUGGAACUUACGCCAACCCACAAUCUGGAGGCUUUGAGGUCAUUUGAACGACACAUCAUUUCCCGCAACCCAUGAAAUGAUGUACAGCUGUUGCUGUCAGUGAAUACUUGUUGAAAGCUCCUGCCUGAGAAAGAAGGCCCUUUGCGACAGAGCGUGGAACUUACGCCAACCCACAAUCUGGAGGCUUUGAGGUCAUUUGAACGACACAUCAUUU